UGAGAUCGAGUUAAGUAAUGCCUUCUAUUCCACUCCAUCAUAGGUUAUGGGUAUAAGGUGUUACAUUUAGUGGUAUCAGAGCUACGGUUUAGUCAAUUCUAAGGCUAACCUAGCGAGAGUACGGGUAUACAUACCAUAACUGUAUAUUAAUAGCGUGACGACUUCUGAUGAUUAUAAAUUGUAUUUUCUAUAUAGUAAAUGGAUCCUGAUAGAGCCACGGCGGAUGACGUGGAGAGUAAUGCGUCAGCUCCCG
This 253-nucleotide long non-coding RNA is filed under the name Gossypium barbadense (sea-island cotton). RNAcentral's name for it is "long non-coding RNA (GBAR_LNC001455)". The record is from RNAcentral. Lineage: Eukaryota; Viridiplantae; Streptophyta; Magnoliopsida; Malvales; Malvaceae.